GGACAAUCCUUCUUCUUCCAGAGGAGAGAAAGAAUCCGAAAAUAACAACGGGAACAAAAAGAGACCGACCUCCUCCUGAAAGCGACAGGGCUUGAUGGUCACUGAGGAGGGAGGGACAACACUUGGUUGGUCUGGACAGCAGGACGACAGCGAACAGGAAGAUGCCAGCUGCUGUCGAGGACUGGGAUAAAACCGAGGAAAAUGUCAGCGAAAAAUUCCACCAACUUCAGUCAAACUUUCACUACAAAGUGAUUUUAUUUGUAAAAUAUCAUGGAUGUUUAAGCAAUAUCCAGCGUUUGUACACAUUUUAUUGAUUGAAUGAAAUAAAAACUCUGUAAACAUAA
Chiloscyllium plagiosum (whitespotted bambooshark) is the source of this 344-nucleotide non-coding RNA. Lineage: Eukaryota; Metazoa; Chordata; Chondrichthyes; Orectolobiformes; Hemiscylliidae. The record is from RefSeq and is a predicted model, not a curated record.